UGCUUUACACAUGCAAGUCGAACGGCAGCACGGGGGCAACCCUGGUGGCGAGUGGCGAACGGGUGAGUAAUACAUCGGAACGUGCCCAGUCGUGGGGGAUAACGUAGCGAAAGUUACGCUAAUACCGCAUACGUCCUGAGGGAGAAAGCGGGGGACCGUAAGGCCUCGCGCGAUUGGAGCGGCCGAUAUCGGAUUAGCUAGUUGGUGAGGUAAAGGCUCACCAAGGCGACGAUCCGUAGCUGGUCUGAGAGGACGACCAGCCACACUGGAACUGAGACACGGUCCAGACUCCUACGGGAGGCAGCAGUGGGGAAUUUUGGACAAUGGGCGCAAGCCUGAUCCAGCCAUUCCGCGUGAGUGAAGAAGGCCUUCGGGUUGUAAAGCUC
Molecule: ribosomal RNA, 386 nt
Filed under: uncultured organism
Description: bacterial SSU rRNA
Rfam family: Bacterial small subunit ribosomal RNA
Source: RNAcentral